RNAcentral lists this ribosomal RNA (515 nucleotides) under uncultured bacterium. Its description in RNAcentral is "bacterial SSU rRNA". It matches the Rfam family "Bacterial small subunit ribosomal RNA", at positions 15 to 518 of the family's 1533-position model. The record is from RNAcentral.
GAUUCUGGCUCAGGAUGAACGCUAGCUACAGGCUUAACACAUGCAAGUCGAGGGGCAGCAUGAUCAAAGCUUGCUUUGAUUGAUGGCGACCGGCGCACGGGUGAGUAACGCGUAUCCAACCUUCCCCUUAGUAGGGCAUAGCCCGUAGAAAUGCGGAUUAAUACCCUAUGUUGUUCAAUGCGGACAUCUAAGUUGAACCAAAGGUUUACCGCUAAGGGAUGGGGAUGCGUCCGAUUAGGCAGCAGGCGGGGUAACGGCCCACCUGGCCGACGAUCGGUAGGGGUUCUGAGAGGAAGGUCCCCCACAUUGGAACUGAGACACGGUCCAAACUCCUACGGGAGGCAGCAGUGAGGAAUAUUGGUCAAUGGGCGAGAGCCUGAACCAGCCAAGUAGCGUGCCAGGAUGACGGCCCUAUGGGUUGUAAACUGCUUUUAUGCGGGGAUAAAGUGCGGCACGUGUGCCGUUUUGUAGGUACCGCAUGAAUAAGGACCGGCUAAUUCCGUGCCAGCCGCGGC